AUACGGAGGGGGCAAGCGUUGUUCGGAUUUACUGGGCGUAAAGGGCGCGUAGGCGGAUGUUCGCGUCAGAGGUGAAAGCCCCGGGCUCAACCUGGGAACUGCCUUUGAAACGGGACAUCUUGAGUUCGGAAGAGGGUAGCGGAAUUCCCAGUGUAGAGGUGAAAUUCGUAGAUAUUGGGAAGAACACCAGUAGCGAAGGCGGCUACCUGGUCCGACACUGACGCUGAGGCGCGAAAGCGUGGGGAGCAAACAGGAUUAGAUACCCUGGUAGUCCACGCCGUAAACGAUGUGCGCUAGCCGUUGGGAUGCUUGGCAUUUCGGUGGCGAAGUUAACGCAUUAAGCGCACCGCCUGGGGAGUACGGCCGCAAGGUUAAA
RNAcentral lists this ribosomal RNA (376 nucleotides) under uncultured bacterium. RNAcentral describes it as "bacterial SSU rRNA". It matches the Rfam family "Bacterial small subunit ribosomal RNA", at positions 523 to 898 of the family's 1533-position model. The record is from RNAcentral.